UCGAACGGUAGCACAGAGAGCUUGCUCUCGGGUGACGAGUGGCGGACGGGUGAGUAAUGUCUGGGAAACUGCCUGAUGGAGGGGGAUAACUACUGGAAACGGUAGCUAAUACCGCAUAACGUCGCAAGACCAAAGAGGGGGACCUUCGGGCCUCUUGCCAUCAGAUGUGCCCAGAUGGGAUUAGCUAGUAGGUGGGGUAACGGCUCACCUAGGCGACGAUCCCUAGCUGGUCUGAGAGGAUGACCAGCCACACUGGAACUGAGACACGGUCCAGACUCCUACGGGAGGCAGCAGUGGGGAAUAUUGCACAAUGGGCGCAAGCCUGAUGCAGCCAUGCCGCGUGUAUGAAGAAGGCCUUCGGGUUGUAAAGUACUUUCAGCGGGGAGGAAGGUGUUGUGGUUAAUAACCGCAGCAAUUGACGUUACCCGCAGAAGAAGCACCGGCUAACUCCGUGCCAGCAGCCGCGGUAAUACGGAGGGUGCAAGCGUUAAUCGGAAUUACUGGGCGUAAAGCGCACGCAGGCGGUCUGUCAAGUCGGAUGUGAAAUCCCCGGGCUCAACCUGGGAACUGCAUUCGAAACUGGCAGGCUAGAGUCUUGUAGAGGGGGGUAGAAUUCCAGGUGUAGCGGUGAAAUGCGUAGAGAUCUGGAGGAAUACCGGUGGCGAAGGCGGCCCCCUGGACAAAGACUGACGCUCAGGUGCGAAAGCGUGGGGAGCAAACAGG
Molecule: ribosomal RNA, 723 nt
Filed under: uncultured Enterobacterales bacterium
Lineage: Bacteria; Pseudomonadati; Pseudomonadota; Gammaproteobacteria; Enterobacterales
Description: bacterial SSU rRNA
Rfam family: Bacterial small subunit ribosomal RNA
Source: RNAcentral